ACAUGCCCACACCUGUGGCUUCUGAAGCAGAGCACCAGCAGUGACAGUCCCACCAGAACCGCAUGGAAUAGAAAACUGUGCAUUUCCCUAAGGAAAGGGAAUGCCAGAGAAGGGCAGAAGGGAAAUCAGGAAGACAAAACGGUAAAUUACCUACCACAAAUCCAAUUCAUUGGUAUUUUUCCACUUACACUUAACCAAGCAACGAUUUCUCCUGGUCCCAUAAUGGAAAAGAGGGUUUAUCUAGAUUCAUAUAUACAAGACUGAAGAGUGAAGAGAGACCCAGAGAAUGUUCUAAAAUCUGCCAGUUAGCAUAAUCACACAGAGAAAUCUCUGCUUCCAGAGGAGGAGCCAAGUUCAAGUCAGAGUGUCUUCAUGUUGGAGUGGACCUUUCCUCUAUCUGUCAACAGAAUGGAUAAAUUGUGGAAGAGUAAUAUCAGAAUACUACACAUCAGUAAAAAACAACAAACUUCUGCUACAAACAAUCAACAUCGAUGAAUCUUUCAGGCAAAAGGGCAAAGAAAAGUAUUGGUCUUCCAAAACAAAUAGAGGACGGAGCUGCUGCUGUUGCAUGGUGUCUAGAAACUCAGACAACUUCAUCAUUCCAUAUUUGCAUCCAAGAGAGAGAAAGAAAAACUACAAUCAUUUUCCAUUUACCCAUCAACCCAUCAACCUCCAAAUAAAGGCUAUUAAAAAACAAUCAAAGUGUGAAGAGGGCAGAAAAUGUGAUGAAGAGAUUCUUUGGAGAAAGUAGCUGCCACUGUUACCUUGGGAUCUGCCUAUAGUCCUCACAGAGCUUGAGACAGGGUCUCACUAUGUUGCCCCAGUUGGCCUUGAACUGCUGGACUCAAGGGAUCCUCCUGCCUCAGCAUCCUGAGUAGCUGGGUCUACAGGCAUGAACCACCAGGCCCAGAACCCUGUCUUUUGAAAGCCAUAUGCGAUCUGUCUGCCCUGAAGUGACUACUUCAUCUCCAACCAGCCCUUGGCUGGCAAAGUCAGGAAGACUCCAGUCUUUCCUGAAGACCAGGGGAGAGUUUAUAACUCUAGCAUCAAAGUCAGCAGCUGUUCAUCUAGAAGACAACUUCCCAAAAGUCAAUGUCUUUGCCUGAAGCUUUUCUUCCCAGAUCUCCUAUGGUGAAACAACCAAAGGGAAGAAGAAUGUGGGCAGCCCUCAGUAAGACAGGAGAUGAGCAUCAACAUUGACCCAUUCUUUCUUCCAGUCCUCGAUGCUUACCUUGUACAUUCUUCUUUGUCUUCCGACUCAGUGCCUUUAGGGUAUGGACGUUGCCUGGUCCCACACAAGCCAAGCAUCAAAUGGAUGGCUCAACAAGGAGGCCAAGACCAGCUAAUGUUUAGUGAGCACCCAAAGGGGCCACACUGGAGAGAACAGCACAGCUCCGUCUGAGAAACAGCUGUUCCUUCCUGCCUGAGAGGCAGAGUGAUAGAAGAUAUCACAGAAUGUUGCUGCUUUGUCUUCCACCCUGAACCCUCCACGACCUCCCUGUAGCUUCCUGAUUUUAAGUAGACAUCAAAUGAUUCUUAAUCCUUUCUGGGUCUUGGAACGAUUUGAAAAUUGUCAACAGUACUGGGAUUCCCAGAAUAAUGCACAUAUGUACAUACUCAGAUAUUCCCCAAGCCCUGGAUAUAAUUUUAAGGGAGUUCACAGACCACACUCCCCCACCCAUCUGUGGACCCAGAUUCUGUGGGUUCGAGAUUCAGAAGCCCUGUUUCUAGGCAGGCCCUCUGUUGCUAACGCCCCUCGAGAACAUCACCCUAGAUGAUUAUCCCUUCUUCCUCCACUCCUUCCCACCUUCUCCAACUGCUGGGUUUCAGCACAAAGAUUGCUUGCCAGUUAAACUGGCACCAUGGACCGCACAGUAGUUGUUUCUUGGGUCUAGAGGAAACAGCCAGAUUCCUUUAAGUAAAUCAUGUCUUAGUUAUUGAUUGUCUCCACUUGAAGUUUUUGACAAUCUCUGAUUAAAUCAUAAACCACUGCA
This 1994-nucleotide long non-coding RNA is filed under the name Homo sapiens (human). Its description in RNAcentral is "long independently transcribed non-coding RNA 2290, transcript variant 10 (LINC02290)". Lineage: Eukaryota; Metazoa; Chordata; Mammalia; Primates; Hominidae. The record is from RNAcentral.